UUCGUAGGCGGUGUGGCAAGUCGGGAGUGAAAUCUAUGGGCUUAACCCAUAGGCUGCUUCCGAAACUGCUGUGCUUGAGUGUGGGAGAGGCGCGUGGAAUUGCAGGUGUAGCGGUGAAAUGCGUAGAUAUCUGCAGGAACACCCGUGGCGAAAGCGGCGCGCUGGACCACAACUGACGCUGAGGAACGAAAGCUAGGGGAGCAAACAGGAUUAGAUACCCUGGUAGUCCUAGCCCUAAACGAUCAGGACUUGGGGUGCCGCCCGUUCGGGCGUCGUCCCGGAGCUAACGCGUUAAGUCCUGCACCUGGGGAGUACGGUCGCAAGACUGAA
This 330-nucleotide ribosomal RNA is filed under the name uncultured bacterium. RNAcentral's name for it is "bacterial SSU rRNA". It matches the Rfam family "Bacterial small subunit ribosomal RNA", at positions 568 to 898 of the family's 1533-position model. The record is from RNAcentral.